AACAAUUAGAGGACAAGUCUGGUGCCAGCACCCGCGGUAAUUCCAGCUCUAAUAGCAUACGUUAAAGUUGUUGCGGUUAAAACGCUCGUAGUCGGCUUAAGAUCAUCAGAUGCCUGAUCCGGGAGCCCGGGACCGCUGCUCUUCGGAGCGCGCCGGGUAACUAGAGAGGGCGGGCGGUGGUCAAGUGUGCCUUGGGCUGCCUCUCCGGAGUCGCAGGGCUUGGUCAGCUUCCUUCACGGGGGGUUGGCCUUGUCCGGCCUGGGGUACCAUUUACUAUGAUUAAACUGGCGUGAUCAAAGCAGGUCGAUCGACCUUGCACAGCACAGCAUAGCAUAA
RNAcentral lists this ribosomal RNA (336 nucleotides) under Polyschismium peyerimhoffii. RNAcentral's name for it is "bacterial SSU rRNA". It matches the Rfam family "Eukaryotic small subunit ribosomal RNA", at positions 543 to 817 of the family's 1831-position model. The record is from RNAcentral. Lineage: Eukaryota; Evosea; Eumycetozoa; Physariida; Didymiaceae.